RNAcentral lists this long non-coding RNA (797 nucleotides) under Brassica rapa (field mustard). RNAcentral describes it as "long non-coding RNA (BRAP_LNC008909)". Lineage: Eukaryota; Viridiplantae; Streptophyta; Magnoliopsida; Brassicales; Brassicaceae. The record is from RNAcentral.
UUAGGCCUCGAUCUAACGGAAAAUGCUAACUCUAGGUAAGGGUUGCAAAGCCUUCAGCCUUAAGUUAGCGGGACGUGUUAGUGGACGAACUGGUCUAGGUCGUAGAGUAAAUUUUAUGACUCUGACCGGGUUGUCUCUAGCCCAUCACGUAGCGCUUCCGGACCAUGGUGUUGGGUUGGAUGGUCAGUCAUGUUCUUGUUUGAUUGUUGGCUGGCCGGUUGGCCUCUAAUCUCUAACACUUGGUUUGGGUCGUCCGUCGGUCAUGUUCUUGUUUGAUUGUUGGCCGGUGGGUCGACCUAUGCCUAGGACGGUUCGGGGGUGUUACAGAAUGUAGAAACCCGUUAAAAAAAAAACAAAAAACAAAAAAAAAGAAAAGAAAAAGAGAAUAGUCGAGUAUCUUUGUGGUGGUCAAGGCACGGUCAAUAAGGAUCGAUCGAGAACCUUCGAAGUAGAGGUGGGCGAAGAAGUGAUCGUUAGUGAACUAUGAUUCGAAUAAGUUGCUCAGCCAUAGUUAGAAGAAGUCUUAGAUUGUUUAGACGGACGUUUUGGAAGCAUAACAUUUUUUGAAGCACGACGGUUAGAAGCUCGACGUUUUGGAAGAAUGACGUUUCUUCAACACGAAUUUUCCCCGAAACUUCGUAUCAGCGGAAUAUUAUUUCGAAGACAUUGGAAACAUGAUGGGAAUUAAGCAUGACGGGAAGAACGCACGACGGGAUCGAAGAACGACGGGAAAACCCGAAAUUGGACGAAAAACCUAAUUUCGGUAUUAUGGAAGUUUUCAAUGAAGCCGAAGGAUC